ACCAUGACUUGUUCUCUGGUUUGAUCUCGUGCAGGAUCUUCUUGCAAUGUGUGUGACAAAAUAUACAUAUAUACACCUAUAUACAGAGCGUGCAUUCCUGGGAAAAAUUCGUCUGGAGGAUAAGUGAUGUAAACUAUCAGAGAUCUUCCCCAAGUUAAGUAGAAGGACCCCCAAAAAGAACUAUGACAGCAGAGAUCAUGAAAUUUUAAAAAAAUAUUAUCCAAUUCUAAUGCAGAAACAACAGUUGAUUCCCACAAAUCUACAAAGCACAUAGGACGUAAGGAAAGAAAAUCAACAUACUAACUAAUGCUUAAAUGAGACAUUCAGACAUUAACAAAUGGUAUUCUACCUGAUCUGUAUAUUAUCAAUUAUUUUUCUCCUGAGCUGUAUACACUUCAAGAUGGCAGUGGACUGUUUGGUUUUCAUGAGUUCUAUUGAAGAAGGAUAUUCCAGCCAGAAUUUGGUGACGAGGAGGCUAGAGGCUGCGACACCAUGUGCACAGUGGGAAUUUUCAGCAGAUGAAACAGCUGAAAAGAAGAACCUGGAAAUUUAUCUCAACCAUCCCUAUUCCAUUCAAUGGGACUGCAGGGAUUGUAGCCCUGGACAAAGUUCAUCACCAGAUUUCAUCAUUUGGGCUAUCCAGGUAUUAAAAUAUCUCAAAGUAAUUGUGGAAAUGGUGUCACAGAGCAGCCAAGCAGACAAAUAAAAUUGCUUUUUGGAAAUAUUCCAUAAGACAAAUGGG
RNAcentral lists this long non-coding RNA (742 nucleotides) under Phasianus colchicus (ring-necked pheasant). Its description in RNAcentral is "lncRNA (ENSPCLG00000013623.1)". The record is from RNAcentral. Lineage: Eukaryota; Metazoa; Chordata; Aves; Galliformes; Phasianidae.